RNAcentral lists this ribosomal RNA (233 nucleotides) under uncultured bacterium. Its description in RNAcentral is "partial 16S ribosomal RNA". It matches the Rfam family "Bacterial small subunit ribosomal RNA", at positions 102 to 334 of the family's 1533-position model. The record is from RNAcentral.
CACGGGUGAGUAACACGUAUCCAACCUGCCGUCUACUCUUGGACAGCCUUCUGAAAGGAAGAUUAAUACAAGAUGGCAUCAUGAGUCCGCAUGUUCACAUGAUUAAAGGUAUUCCGGUAGACGAUGGGGAUGCAUUCCAUUAGAUAGUAGGCGGGGUAACGGCCCACCUAGUCUUCGAUGGAUAGGGGUUCUGAGAGGAAGGUCCCCCACAUUGGAACUGAGACACGGUCCAA